RNAcentral lists this long non-coding RNA (1604 nucleotides) under Setaria viridis. RNAcentral describes it as "long non-coding RNA (SVIR_LNC002270)". Lineage: Eukaryota; Viridiplantae; Streptophyta; Magnoliopsida; Poales; Poaceae. The record is from RNAcentral.
GUUACAUUAUUUUCUUUGAAAAUUUCUCUGUGGUUUCUUUUCUUUCUGUUUGAGCCACAUAUUUCCAUGCCUUAUGCUGGCAGUUUAGCUGUCGUAUGAAUCAAUAUCUUUUGGCUUUGUGCUACUGUGUCAUAGGAAGAUACAAAUUUGACAUAUCUGUAGCUAUAUAUGAAUCAAUUAAUCAAUUUGAGCAAUCUGGAUUGUGUCCAGCUGAUAAUUGUUGUCAUCUUUUAAUCUACCUGGAUCUAUUUCAGGAUGGUGAAGACCAAUCUUUGGAGGUACCUGCUGCAAGACCCUUUGAAGAUAGCAGUGAGAGAUUGAAUAGGUUAAUUGCUAUGCAGAAAAGGUUAUCAGAAGCAACUAGGGAAGCAUUGCCAACUCAAGUGAGAAAGAGAAUAAGACUAACUUCAGCAGUUAAUACAUCAAAUGUUCAGUCAGCUAGCUCUCCUACUCCAGUUUCUCCUGUUCACAAGAGAAAUAAAAGAACCGGUUCAAAAAAAUCACUUGUUUGGAAGCAUUUCAGUACGGGAUUAAGAGGUCAACAUCCUAUUGCGACAUGCAGAUAUUGUGGUCAAGAAUAUAAUUGUGAUCCAUCAACUCAUGGGACAAGCACCUUAUGGAACCACCUAAGGAUAUUAUGCCCCCAGCAACCACUAAAGGGUCAGGAGUUGCAAAGGAAGAACCAAGGAACACCCAAGCAUUCUUACAGCAUUGAAGACUGUCGCAAAGCACUUGCUGAGAUGGUAUUGAUUGAUGAAAUGCCCUUCACAACUGUUGAGGGUGAAGGGUUCAAAAGAUAUUCUAAAGUGUUACAGCCGAGAUUUGACCUCCCCUCUAGAGUCACAGUAGCAAGGGACUGCAUGCAGAGAUAUUUUGAAGAAAAACCCAAGUUGAAGAAAGUAUUGAAAAAUCAAAGAAUUUGCCUAACAACGGACACUUGGACUUCUAAGCAAAAUUUAUGCUAUAUGUGUCUCACUGGAUAUUGGAUUGAUGAUGAAUGGAAGCUGCAAAAACGGAUCCUUAAUUUCUGUUCAGUAGCAGACCACAAAGGAGAGACACUUGGCAAAAGGGUUGAAGAAUGUUUAUUGGACUGGGGCAUUGACCGUCUAUUCACAGUGACAGUUGAUAAUGCAUCUUCUAAUGAUAAGUUAAUUCGAUACUUGAAGAGUGUAUGCAAGAAUUGGCAAGGAGUCGUGCUAAAUAACAAAUUUCUACAUGUGAGGUGUUGUGCCCAUAUUGUUAACCUGGUUGUGAAGAGCGGACUUGAAGAACAUAAUGAGUCUAUUGAGAAAAUCAGAAUAGCAGUAAAAUUUGUGAGAUCUUCACCAUCAAGACUGAAGGUAUUCAAGAAAUGUGCAGAAUUGGAGAAAAUUUCAAGCAAGAGCCUUUUAACCUUAGAUCUAGAGACCAGGUGGAACUCUACCUUUCUAAUGUUGGAGAGUGCAGAAAAGUUUGAGAGAGCUUUUGCAAGACUAGAAAAGGAGUACAUUCCAUUCAAAGCAUACUUCCCAGACAAAGAUCCACCCAAUACAGACGAUUGGCGAAUAGCAAGGCGCAUAUUGUGCUUCUUGAAACUAUUUGAAAAGGUCACCACUCGUCUGUCC